Molecule: long non-coding RNA, 226 nt
Filed under: Elaeis guineensis (African oil palm)
Lineage: Eukaryota; Viridiplantae; Streptophyta; Magnoliopsida; Arecales; Arecaceae
Description: long non-coding RNA (EGUI_LNC080565)
Source: RNAcentral
CCACCCCCCGCAACCCUCUCUGCCUCUCGAUGGCCUGAUCAACCCAAAAAAAAAGUUGAAAGAACCCUUCCCUCUGACGGAUGGCGGAUGGCAACGAUGAUGCGAUAAUGGCGCGGACGGCAGAUGGCGGCGGCAUCGGUGGAGACGGGCUCGCCGAUGGCAAGAGGGGGGAGAGCUUGGAGAGGGAGAGGGAGAGAGGAGAGGGGAGAGGGGAGAGCUCUGGGAG